UCAGAACGAACGCUGGCGGCAGGCUUAACACAUGCAAGUCGAACGCCCCGCAAGGGGAGUGGCAGACGGGUGAGUAACGCGUGGGAAUCUACCCUUUUCUACGGAACAACUGAGGGAAACUUCAGCUAAUACCGUAUACGGCCGAGAGGCGAAAGAUUUAUCGGAGAAGGAUGAGCCCGCGUUGGAUUAGCUAGUUGGUGGGGUAAAGGCCUACCAAGGCGACGAUCCAUAGCUGGUCUGAGAGGAUGAUCAGCCACACUGGGACUGAGACACGGCCCAGACUCCUACGGGAGGCAGCAGUGGGGAAUAUUGGACAAUGGGCGCAAGCCUGAUCCAGCCAUGCCGCGUGAGUGAUGAAGGCCCUAGGGUUGUAAAGCUCUUUCACCGGUGAAGAUAAUGACGGUAACCGAGAGA
RNAcentral lists this ribosomal RNA (414 nucleotides) under soil bacterium 07G-10. RNAcentral's name for it is "bacterial SSU rRNA". It matches the Rfam family "Bacterial small subunit ribosomal RNA", at positions 24 to 486 of the family's 1533-position model. The record is from RNAcentral.